RNAcentral lists this long non-coding RNA (1730 nucleotides) under Nicotiana tabacum (common tobacco). RNAcentral describes it as "long non-coding RNA (NTAB_LNC000846)". Lineage: Eukaryota; Viridiplantae; Streptophyta; Magnoliopsida; Solanales; Solanaceae. The record is from RNAcentral.
CCUUAUUCAGUCUCUCAUCUCUCUCACUCUAACUAACCCUAGCUGCCCCAAACCCUUCACCAUCUCCGCCGUCCCCCGCUGCCUGGAAAUCGCCUUACGACGGCGGACUACCUCCUAUCUCAUCCAAAUUCACACCAGACAACCGCCGUAAUCUCCUCAUCCUGUAUCUACUCUCAAUUUCUCCAAAAUCCCCACCCAUCUUCUCCAAUUUUAGAUCUAAAAAUCCUGAAAAACCUAAUCUUUCCUUCUUCUGAUUUCAUUGCCGGUACUAGCUCGUUUUGGCCUGAAACUUACCUCAUUGGUCAUCACAUUCUCGGCCAAAAUCAGUAUACCUUUCUCCCCAAAUCCCUUUGUUUCUUUUUCUAUUUUUGAAUUGUCAUUUAGGUGUUAAUCUUGAUUGGUUUGGUUAUUAAUUCGUUUAAUUUCAGUAAAAGUAGGUUUAUUUAGUUAAUUGCAUAGGUUUAUUUAGUUAAUUGCAUUGUUUAGUUUAAUUACAUUUGUUUAGGCCAAUUAAAUCAGCUUUAGUCAACUUAGUAGAUUAGUUAGGUUUUAAUUAAUGGAUUGUUUUUGUUUUGGUUUAUUUCUAAUUGUUGCCUUAAUUAUUUGAGUUUAGAGGUUUGAAUGCCAAUUGGGAAUUAGGAGGGUGAAAGUGUAAUAAACAGAACUUGAAGGGGUUAAUUUGGAAGAAAAAAUGGAUACAGUUUAGGUAAAAAUAUCAGAAGGUUCUAGUAUUAGACAAGUGUCCCUCUUUUUGGUGUGAAAAUGCUGAAAUUGGGUAAACGGACAGACACCUGUACCAAAUGUGUUAAAAAAAGAUGUUGUACUAUCCUAUUUUACCGCUGACAUUUUCUAAUUUUUAGGGUAGAAUAUUCCCUAUUAUGCUUAUGUUAAAGAACGGACCCUCACUCACUCAUACAGACAUUCUUCAGCACACUCACUCUAAAAUCUAAGUUUCUGUUUUGGCAUGAAUGAGCUGAUUUCAUUAUUUGUUCCAUGAAAUCUUGAUCCUCCAUCGUCACUUGCUGAUUUUCCUUAUGUUUAGCAUGUUAAUUAGUAGAUCUUGUUUCAGUUAAACUCAUGAGUGGUGUUCUGUUUAUUUUGUGUGAAAAAUGGAAAAAGAAAAACUUCAUUACUCUACUAUUUGAUUACUUGAAGUGAUAUGGUUAUUUUUUAAACUUUGAGUCUAUUUCUGAGUUAAAUGUCCUAUUGUGAAUUAGUUGAUUAUAAGAUGGGAGCUGAUCGAGUUGUUAACUCUAAACAUUAGCUUAAAUAGCCUUUAAUAAUAUCUUAAGCAUGUAAUAUCAGUUAUUGAUUUUUUUUAAGUUUGAAUACCAUUUCAACCCUGUUUUAGACCAUGCGGAUUCAAUUCAAAAGAGUUUUUACAAUAGUGUUGGUUUAUGUGGAUUUGUGUUGAGUUUGGAGUGUAAAAGAGAUGGUUUGUUACAGGAUACGUAACUAUGGCUUGCUAAUCUGACCACCAUUUAGAUCAGAUUGGUGAACUCUAAAGCUAAAGGAUGCAUUUGGAUUCAUCUAUGGAGGGAGAUUAAGCAAAAGAUUGACUAUUCUUUGAACCAUUCAUGUAUACAUUUUAAAGUUAUAUUUGUUACUGUAUUACCAUAUCUGGAAAUAUUAGAAUGUAUUUGGUUUGUUAUGUUAACUCAAAGGGGCCAGUUUGUCCAUUUUCACUCAUUUUUGGCAAAUUUAAUUCUGAAAGUUUGAAUGAGUUACUG